AUGAACGCUGGCGGCGUGCCUAAUACAUGCCAGUCGAGCGAACAGAUGAGGAGCUUGCUCCUCUGACGUUAGCGGCGGACGGGUGAGUAACACGUGGAUAACCUACCUAUAAGACUGGGAUAACUUCGGGAAACCGGAGCUACUACCGGAUAAUAUAUUGAACCGCAUGGUUCAAUAGUGAAAGACGGUUUUGCUGUCACUUAUAGAUGGAUCCGCGCCGCAUUAGCUAGUUGGUAAGGUAACGGCUUACCAAGGCAACGAUGCGUAGCCGACCUGAGCGGGGGAUCGGCCACACUGGAACUGAGACACGGUCCAGACUCCUACGGGAGGCAGCAGGAGGGAAUCUUCCGCAAGGGGCGAAAGCCUGACGGAGCAACGCCGCGGGAGUGAUGAAGGUCUUCGGAUCGUAAAACUCUGUUAUUAGGGAAGAACAAAUGUGUAAGUAACUAUGCACGUCUUGACGGUACCUAAGCAGAAAGCCACGGCUAACUACGU
This 495-nucleotide ribosomal RNA is filed under the name uncultured bacterium. RNAcentral describes it as "partial 16S ribosomal RNA". It matches the Rfam family "Bacterial small subunit ribosomal RNA", at positions 29 to 506 of the family's 1533-position model. The record is from RNAcentral.